UACGGAGGGUGCAAGCGUUGUCCGGAUUUAUUGGGUUUAAAGGGUGCGUAGGCGGCUUUUUAAGUCAGUGGUGAAAGACAACAGCUCAACUGUUGCAGUGCCAUUGAUACUGAAGAGCUUGAGUACAGAUGAGGUAAGGCGGAAUUUAUGGUGUAGCGGUGAAAUGCAUAGAUACCAUAAAGAACACCUAUUGCGAAGGCAGCUUACUAGCUGUAACUGACGCUGAGGGCACGAAAGUG
This 239-nucleotide ribosomal RNA is filed under the name uncultured bacterium. RNAcentral describes it as "partial 16S ribosomal RNA". It matches the Rfam family "Bacterial small subunit ribosomal RNA", at positions 524 to 761 of the family's 1533-position model. The record is from RNAcentral.